UGCGCUCUUCCGGCAGUGGCUUCUCCUGGCUGCCGCGGCUUCCCCGGCGUCCGCGCGUGCGCAGCUGAGAAAUGGAACUCUAUUCCUGUGACACUUUUGUGGCAUUACCUCCAGCAACAGUUGGAAAUAGGGUUAUUUUUGGAAAAAAUUCAGACAGACUCUUUGAUGAAGUACAAGAAGUAAUUUACUGCCCAGCUGCAGUUCAUAAUGAUUUGGAAAAACGUCUCAAGUGUACUUAUAUAGAAGUUGAUCAAGUUCCUGAAACAUAUGCUGUUGUCCUUAGUCGCCCAGCUUGGCUGUGGGGGGCAGAAAUGGGUGCCAAUGAGCAUGGUGUCUGCAUUGGGAAUGAGGCUGUAUGGGGAAGAGAAGAUAUUUCUAAGGAGGAAGCACUUUUGGGCAUGGACCUUGUCAGGCUGGGCCUUGAGAGAGCUGACACAGCUGAGAGAGCUCUGGAUGUCAUUGUUGACUUACUAGAAAAGUAUGGCCAAGGUGGGAACUGUGCAGAGGGUGAAGAGUUCAGCUAUUACAACAGUUUCCUGAUAGCCGACAGGAAUGAAGCCUGGAUCCUGGAGACGUCGGGGAAGUACUGGGCAGCAGAGAGAGUCCAAGGUGUGAACAGCUAUCUGCAGUUUGGUUUAUAAUUACGUAAUUAAUAAAAUCUACUGUAACUGUAGAUGAUAUGCUUACUUGCCUUUUGAGAUUUAUAAUCCAUUGCAUUAAAGGAGAAACUGCAGAGCAAGGUUUAAACUGGAAAGAACAGAAAGGGAACGAGAACUGUGAUGAGCAUUCAUACAAAAAAAUCACCAGGUCGCGUCAUCUCCAGCGGCCUGUGGCUGCCUAGAGUGUGGUGGUGGUCUUUUUUAUUUGUUUGUUUGUUUGGUUUAGAAUUGGAUGUCAUUGAGUAAAUGCAAUCUGAUUGCUCUGGAAUUGAUUUCUCCAGGUGGUUUAUUUGUGGUCCUAUAUUCCUCUUAUUUCUUCUUGCGUGUGUUUCCUUGUGAUGCGCGUGCGUGUAUAUAUGUGGAGGGAGGCAUACAGGUCCACUGUGUACAAGUGAAGGUCAGAGGACAACCUGUGGUGACUCACGGUCCCUGUGGUUUACUGCUCCUGCGUGAACUUGACUAUCUGAUCCCCACUCUUCUGGGGAUUUUCUCCCAUUGCCUUCCGUCUCACCACAGAAGUCCUGGGACUGUAGACACUAAGGCCAUCCCUGACUUCACCUGAGUCCUGGGGACUUGAAUUCACAUAAUCCAUUAAGCUUUCUCCGCAGCCAGUCCUCUUAAUUUCAAGUGAAGAAAUCCAGAGAUGGAAAGUAAUUUAGUAUGCUGAGAGAAAGCCUUCCUCCCCACCCCUUGUUCUGCAGAGCACAGUCUGUGUGUGCACUGACAUCUUGAAUCUCCUAGUUUUACAGAGGAGAUGAGGGACGCCUGUAAACACAGCAGUGGAGGUUAGCCCGGGAACUGUUGCUUGUCUGGCACACACAAGUCCUGGUUUAAUCCCCAGCAGUGUGUAAAACGGAGACGGGUGGGGCACAGGAAGGAGGGAGGUAGUGAGAGCAGAAGCUCAAGAUCAUUGUCGACUUCACAGAGUCUGAGUCCAGCCUUGGACUCAGGAGAACCUGCCUCAACUAAGUAGCUAGUGAACUGGGUGAACGAUGAACGAUGUGGACCCGGGGAUACUGCGGACAUUAGAGGAAGGAAGGUCAUUGUGAGCUUCUGGGGGUGUUCAAAAGGACUUCCCGGGAGCCUGUGCUGGAAGAUUCCAGUGUUACCUUUCAAAAUAGGGCAUUGCCAGUUAUUUUCAUUGGCUUUAGAAAUGCUGUUAUAUUUUAAGUUUGACACUUUCUAUGUAUUAAUAAAAUAUAUAAAAUUAAAUU
Mus pahari (shrew mouse) is the source of this 1873-nucleotide RNA transcript. It is a transcript of the gene named secernin 3, with no coding region annotated. Lineage: Eukaryota; Metazoa; Chordata; Mammalia; Rodentia; Muridae. The record is from RefSeq and is a predicted model, not a curated record. The transcript is spliced from 5 exons.